GAUGAAGAACGCAGCGAAAUGCGAUAAGUAAUGUGAAUUGCAGAAUUCAGUGAAUCAUCGAAUCUUUGAACGCACAUUGCGCCCGCCAGUAUUCUGGCGGGCAUGCCUGUUCGAGCGUCAUUUCAACCAUCAAGCCCCCGGGCUUGUGUUGGGGACCUGCGGCUGCCCGCAGGCCCUGAAAACCAGUGGCGGGCUCGCUGUCACACCGAGCGUAGUAGCAUAUCAUCUCGCUCUGGGCGUGCUGCGGGUUCCGGCCGUUAAAGCCUUUUCUUUACCCAAGGUUGACCUCGGAUCAGGUAGGAAGACCCGCUGAACUUAAGCAUAUCAAUAAGCGGAGGA
This 339-nucleotide unclassified non-coding RNA is filed under the name soil metagenome. RNAcentral's name for it is "partial contains 5.8S ribosomal RNA, internal transcribed spacer 2, and large subunit ribosomal RNA". The stretch from base 1 to 120 matches the Rfam family "5.8S ribosomal RNA", at positions 35 to 154 of the family's 154-position model. The record is from RNAcentral.